Long non-coding RNA from Drosophila mauritiana, 688 nucleotides. RefSeq lists it as uncharacterized. Lineage: Eukaryota; Metazoa; Arthropoda; Insecta; Diptera; Drosophilidae. The record is from RefSeq and is a predicted model, not a curated record. The transcript is spliced from 3 exons.
CAAUAAAUAUUGUAGUUAAAAGUUCCGGCUAGGCCGUGAAAAAAUUGACUAAGGGUGUGCGCUUUUAACUAUUACUCCCAAGCUCCAGACCGUGAAAAUUAUAUGGAUAAGUAAACACAUAAUAUCAGCUCGACGAUACCCAUUGACUUCAAUUCGUUAAUACUUCGCGAUAUUCGCUUCUUUUUGAAGCAAAGUUUUAUAAAAAGAUAUAUAUAAAAGCACGCGUGGAUUAAGUGCCUCGGAUGAUUGACCAACUGGCAGAUGUCUAGCCAGACUUAAUUAAAUUAAAAGGCAAAGAUUUCCAUGUCUGGCGAAACGCUGAUCAAUUAGUGCAAAUAUAAUAAUUCGAGAUAAUCCCCAAGGCAACUGGAAACAGAAAAUGGGAAGACUCCGCUCUUAUACACCGCGUAUAAGAUGAAUCACCAUCUGACAUGCGUACGCCUAGUGGAAUGCAUCUACUCAGGGCCUGCGAGUAUAGAAGAUACGCCCCCGGUUGUUGGCUUUUUGAAUGUGAAUGAAACGAAACAGCAGCAGCUAAAUGCGAAAAAAAAACCCGCGGAAGUGAGCCAUCGAGUUAACGGUGUGAAACAGAUUGCUGACUUAUUUGGCCAACUUUCGGCAAGGUCAAUGUCGGGUGUGCUCGUCUGCGGACUGGGCCAAAACAAGAUGAUCUCGAACCGGGCGUGAA